Molecule: small nuclear RNA, 103 nt
Organism: Arvicola amphibius (Eurasian water vole)
Lineage: Eukaryota; Metazoa; Chordata; Mammalia; Rodentia; Cricetidae
Source: RefSeq, a predicted model, not a curated record
CAGCUUCGGCAGCACAUAUUCUGAAUUUGGAAGGGAAGAGGGAAGAGUAGCUUGGCCCCUGUGCAAGGAUGACGUGCAAAGACACAAGGUGUCACUGAUGGUA